AAGUCGUAACAAGGUAUCCGUAGGUGAACCUGCGGAUGGAUCAUUACCAAAGGGUGAUAUCCGCACGUAAUGUGAACAGUUUUUGGUGUAUGUGGCUUUGCUGCCUGCACCAUCUCUAACCACGUAUGCAACUGAAGUCUUGUUAAUCAAAUAAUCGAUAAACAACUUUUAGCAAUGGAUCUCUUGGCUCUU
Molecule: unclassified non-coding RNA, 192 nt
Filed under: fungal sp.
Lineage: Eukaryota; Fungi
Description: partial internal transcribed spacer region
Rfam family: Eukaryotic small subunit ribosomal RNA (bases 1-46)
Source: RNAcentral